Molecule: ribosomal RNA, 1573 nt
Filed under: metagenome
Description: bacterial LSU rRNA
Rfam family: Bacterial large subunit ribosomal RNA
Source: RNAcentral
CCAUGUUCGCGUCCGUCCCAAUACUCUGUUGCUAAGGGGCUGUGUUGACUUCGGUCAACGCGAACCGACCCACAUUGUUGCGGGAAGCUGUAGGGGGACGCAGGAAGGUAGAUGAACCCGGUGAAUGGUUGAACCGGGGUAAGCGUGUAGGAGGAGGACCAGGUAAAUCCGGGCCUCAUAAACUCUGAGACGUGAUACCGAGCCGCUUCAGGCGAAGUCAUUGAUCCUAUGCUGCCUAGAAAAGCCCAGCAGCGAGUUGACAUGGUGCCCGUACCCCAAACCAACACAGGUGGACAGGUAGAGCAUACCAAGGCGAGUGGGAUAACUAUGGUUAAGGAACUCGGCAAAUUGCCUCCGUAACUUCGGGAGAAGGAGGACCCCAGUAGCGUGAUGAGACUUGCUCUCUGAGCGUGAAGGGGUGGCACAAAAUUGAGGGAAGCGACUGUUUACCAAAAACACAGCAGCGUGCUAAGCCGUAAGGCGCUGUAUACGCUGUGACUCCUGCCCGGUGCUGGAAGGUUACGGGGAUGGGUUAGUCCUUCGGGACGAAGCUCUGAACCUAAGCCCCAGUAAACGGCGGCCGUAACUAUAACGGUCCUAAGGUAGCGAAAUUCCUUGUCGGGUAAGUUCCGACCUGCACGAAUGGAGUAACGACUUCCCUACUGUCUCAACCAUAGACCCAGCGAAAUUGAAGUACGAGUAAAGAUGCUCGUUAGCUGCAGAAGGACGGAAAGACCCCGUGGACCUUUACUAUAACUUGAUGUUGUGUUUUGUCAUAUGUUGUGUAGGAUUGGUGGGAGACUUGGAAGCAUGGACGCUAGUCUGUGUGGAGUCAUCGUUGAAAUACCACCCUGCAUAUGGUGAGGCUCUAACCUAGACCCGUUAUCCGGGUUGGGGACAGCGUCAGGCGGGUAGUUUAACUGGGGCGGUUGCCUCCUAAAGAGUAACGGAGGCGCCCAAAGGUUCCCUCAGCCUGGUUGGCAAUCAGGCGUUGAGUGCAAUGGCAAAAGGGAGCUUGACUGCGAGACCUACAAGUCGAGCAGGAGCGAAAGCUGGGCAUAGUGAUCCGGCGGUUGCGUGUGGAAGCGCCGUCGCUCAACGGAUAAAAGGUACCCCGGGGAUAACAGGCUAAUCUUGCCCAAGCGUCCAUAGCGACGGCAAGGUUUGGCACCUCGAUGUCGGCUCAUCGCAUCCUGGGGCUGAAGCAGGUCCCAAGGGUUGGGCUGUUCGCCCAUUAAAGCGGUACGCGAGCUGGGUUCAGAACGUCGUGAGACAGUUCGGUCCCUAUCCUCUGCAGCCGGAGGUGAAUUGAGGAAAGCUGUCCCUAGUACGAGAGGACCGGGACGGACGCAGCUCUCGUGUGCCAGUUGUCCUGCCAAGGGCAUGGCUGGUUAGCGACCUGCGGAAAGGAUAACCGCUGAAAGCAUCUAAGCGGGAAGCCUCUUCCAAGAUGAAUUCACCCACAGGGUUAACCUGGUAAGGCCCGUGGUAGACCACCACGUUGAUAGGCCGGAAGUGUAAGCGUGGCAACACGUUCAGCUGACCGGUACUAAUCGGCCGAGGGCUUGAGUUC